CCUACGGGUGGCAGCAGUGAGGAAUAUUGGUCAAUGGACGAGAGUCUGAACCAGCCAAGUAGCGUGAAGGAUGACUGCCCUAUGGGUUGUAAACUUCUUUUAUAUGGGAAUAAAAUGUUCCACGUGUGGGAUUUUGUAUGUACCAUAUGAAUAAGGAUCGGCUAACUCCGUGCCAGCAGCCGCGGUAAUACGGAGGAUCCGAGAGUUAUCCGGAUUUAUUGGGUUUAAAGGGAGCGUAGGUGGAUUGUUAAGUCAGUUGUGAAAGUUUGCGGCUCAACCGUAAAGUUGCAGGUGAAAAUGGCAGUCUUGAGUACAGUAGAGGUUGGCGGAAUUCGUGGUGUAGCGGUGAAAUGCUUAGAUAUCACGAAGAACUCCGAUUGCGAAGGCAGUUCACUGAACUGCAACUGACACUGAGGCUCGAAAGUGUGGGUAUCAAACAGGAUUAGAUACCCGGGUAGUC
RNAcentral lists this ribosomal RNA (460 nucleotides) under uncultured bacterium. RNAcentral's name for it is "partial 16S ribosomal RNA". It matches the Rfam family "Bacterial small subunit ribosomal RNA", at positions 338 to 795 of the family's 1533-position model. The record is from RNAcentral.